UCAGACGGACUACUUGUUUCUAUUUCUCUCAGGAAAGAAACAGAAGUUUCGAGUACCCCUUCUAAAGAUCAAGGUCGCUACACACGGUGGAAAUCUCUCGGUCUCUCUCCCAACGCGAGAGGCGGUUUCCAGGCGGGCUGCCUCCACUGGUCUCCAUCGCCUCCGGUAAGCCGUCGGGCUCUCGGAGGUGUGCGGGACAGUGUACGACCGCGAGGCGGUUGUAGAUAAUGUUGUUUUAGAAUUUUAUUCUGGCACUGGCGGGCAGGUAGGGGCGACGUCAACGCUGUGGGAUAAGGUUCCCCCUGGCUCCUUUCCCGUCUCCGCGGUGAUCCCUCCGGCCGGUGGCACUGCGGGGUUAGGGAGGUUGGCCUCUCUCUUAUCCGGCGAGGUUUGGUCGGUGAUGGGGGUGCACAAUAGUAUAGAAGUUGGGAUUUGUGGAGAGGGAUUCCCAGAUCAGGUCGCCUCGGACGGCCGACAGCUGCGCACUGUUGCGGGCGAAGUGGUUUGAGUUGCGGCUCCACUCCGUCAUAGGCUGCCGCUGGUCAAGGGAUCACUUGGUCUACCCCAGGCCGAUGCACCAGAACCCUCCCUGGUUCCGUCUUUUGGGGAGGGACUUAUAUGCGGCUCACAAAGCCAUGGAUUGGCGAUGCUGCUCCUCAUGCCCGUUGUCUUGUGGAUGACGGCUAGCACCGGCGAGUGCAGAGAUCAGCGUGCCUGGGUGAAUAAGGAAGAUGAACUGGGCUGUAAGUUACUUUGUUUUCUCUGUCGGCGUUAUUCCCUUUAGUGUUAUCUCUGCCUCUCUAGUUCUCAACCUCCAACGACAUGCCCUUUUUUGUGCUGGCCAUGGAGGCUAGCAGCGGCAGGACUGCCAUGACUAGGCCGCGCAAUAUUUCUAACAGUGUUGAGCUACUCGUUCCCGACAGCUCCGGUGCCAAGCUGCCAAGCAGGUAUGUGUGUGAUGGAUCUUUUAAUUUUAAGUUUGCUUCCUGUUCGAUUAGGUGCAUAUUUCGCAAGAUAAUGUUGUUCUAUCAUGUCUCUGAUUUUGAUUUCGAUUUUGAUUUUUCCUGCAGAUUUCAGGAUAUAGAAGGCAGCUUCAGGAAGGGGUCGCUGACGAGGUGAGACCAUUGCGUCUAUUCUUGUGUUAGUUUGUUUCAAAGAAAUCACACUAAUUUCUCUCAGUAUACUCUGCAGAGAAAUAAGUACUGAAGCAGGCUUCACCGAAGACUACUGAUCUAGAAUUGUUUGUUGCUGAAAUAAGUCCAGGAGCGGUGGAGCAGGCUGAACAAUUUUCUGUUGAUUUUACUGAAUGGAUUGUCCCUGUAAUUUGACCAAACGUCAUGUCGCCGUGCCACUGAAGUUUUUGCACAGAAUUCUUGUCUUUUUGGGUGGUGCCAAGCUGUCUUUUUGUUGAACAAUGCCACAAUUGCAUAGUUGUAAGUUAUUUAGGAUUGUCUCUAUUGCAUACGACCUGGAGUUACAAGAGGUCCAGUACUAAUUUUGUGUAUGUAUGUACAUGUGCAGUCACCCAUUUUCUAUACACAAGAUUCCAAAGCAUCUUUUACUGUACAUUUUGUUUCUUUUCUCGGUACAAAAUGUAUUGCAAGUGUUGUUCAUUUUUUCCCUUCUCUAAAUAUACUAGAGACCCUCUAAGGGCUCAGUUUUCUUCCCGUUUGUCUGAAUAUACCCAGAUUUAUUUUGUGUGUGCGUAUUUAACAAAGCAUUUAGUUA
This 1728-nucleotide long non-coding RNA is filed under the name Triticum aestivum (bread wheat). Its description in RNAcentral is "long non-coding RNA (TAES_LNC022513)". The record is from RNAcentral. Lineage: Eukaryota; Viridiplantae; Streptophyta; Magnoliopsida; Poales; Poaceae.